This 655-nucleotide small RNA is filed under the name Histoplasma capsulatum. RNAcentral describes it as "hypothetical RNA". Lineage: Eukaryota; Fungi; Ascomycota; Eurotiomycetes; Onygenales; Ajellomycetaceae. RNAcentral also lists the same sequence under 1 other name. The record is from RNAcentral.
UGGCAUAUAUUUAUCCAGAAACUCUCUUCCAGCAAAAGGUGCUUAACCAUGAUUCCGAUAUACCGAAACACCUGCAGCUUGCCUACCAGCUUGCCGAAUUUGUGCAUCUUGGUGUCGCCGGUGACAUUACAGCCUCAACACUGAACCAGACUUUCGCACUCAACUGUCUUGACGCACUGGCAAAACAUAAAUCCCGAUCUGCGGAUGUUUGUGCGGCUCUUAGCGUGAACGUUAACCACGGAAUCCUUAUGUUCCUCACUCGGAAGGCUGUUGCGGACUUGGCCGUCGAAGAGAAGCCGGAUGACCCACCGGAAGGCGAUGACUGGAGAGAGGCUCUAUUUGCACUUCUUCGAACCCUUCCGAAUGCUGGUACGAGAACGCCAGAGACUCUUGUGGCAGCUGGAUUGAUUCCUUUGUUUGUCGAUAUCUUGAACCUCAGGACGGAGAAAGCAAGAAAAAUUUAUCCUCGGGUCAUGGAAUUCUUGGAUACAUUUGUUCACUCUGUUCGGGAUGCAUUGGCAACAUUGGCUGGAGCCAAAGGUUUCCAUGCCAUUUCAGAUCUGAUCUCUUUCGAGACGAAGACGUCAUUUGAUGCUGUGACGAAGGACCAGGGAAUUCCAGCGCCGUUUAGGACUGCCGCCAUCGAUUACCAGAU